Molecule: non-coding RNA, 3162 nt
Organism: Paramuricea clavata
Lineage: Eukaryota; Metazoa; Cnidaria; Anthozoa; Malacalcyonacea; Plexauridae
Source: the annotation of a GenBank genome assembly
AUCAACGUUCUUCCAAAUGAAACAAAUAUAAUUUUUGUUGCCAUUUUCCUUUAAGGAAUGCUUAUAAUCUAGUACAGAACAGUGACUUAGACUAACAACGUUGAACAAGGGAAAAACAAAUUUAAACUGCUCCCAAGCUUGAGACGUUCAAGCUUAUCGUAAUCUCACGUCCCCGUUCUAUAUAAAACAUUGAACAUUUCUUAACUUGUUCAGGAAGUUUGCCUCAAGUUAAAAGGAAUAAGGUUUAAAAUAGAAUUAUUUACAGUUAUACAUUCAAGCUAAAAUAUGCGUUGUCGGCGUUUCGUUUAGCAGACGACAUGCAAAUUACGAAACAAUUAAUUAAAGGGAAAUAGCAAUAAAAAUUAAGUUUGUCCCAUUUGUAAGAGUGAUUCAAUAAAUUUCAAAAUCUUAACACAUACUUUCUUUAUAGUUUUUGAUAUAAAAGAUGUUACUCUUCAUUUCAAACAAAAUCAUUACGCAUUUCGCCAUCUUGUAUAUUAUGCAUAUCCAUCGUCGGAUAAGCUUGACGUCACAACUAGGGUAACAUUUUGUACCUUGAGCAUUUUAAUGUCAAAUCCUAUUUUUUAACUCCUGGUCAUUUUAAAUUAUAGCGCAAGCUAUAUACAUAAACUUUCAACCGAUUUAUUUUUUAGUUUUAAAACGUCUACCUACGUCAUUUUCUUUUGAGGAAAUUAAACCGUUAAGGGACCGUUCAUUAUUUAUACCUGGAAUUGGUACCGAAGAGAAGCGAAAAACACUGUAAUUUUUUUAUUUACCCAACCUCGACAAUGGUCAAAAUAAUGUUUACCGGCCCAUGUCUAGUAUACUGUACUGCAUAAUAAUUAUUACACACAAGAUUAUGGUGACAGAAAUCAAGAUGCCUAAAUUCUAAAAGCUUCACUCACACACAAACUCACUGAGUGUGUCAAAGCAAUCACAAUCCCGCUGAUCAAUGAUAGAGUCCUUCCUCAAUCACUGAUGAUCUAUUUUGAUACAAAAUGUAGGUAUUUUACACAUUUUUCUUUAUAUUUUCCAAUGAAUGCUAAUUUUAGUUUUAUUUUAUAGCUGACAGACCAGGGCCUUUUUUAACAUACAAGCUGGGGGGCAUUUGCCCCCCCCCCCACGGAAAUCACAUUUUGCCCCCCCAGGAAAAGUCCCUUUUUCCUAAAUGUAUACCAACAAAACAGCGAAGAAUAACAAAUAAAUAAACGGAAAGUAAGUUUUAGGCUUUAUCCUUUGUCCUUGUUUAACAAAAUCGAUCUAAAUUGUUACGUUUUUCUACCACUAAGUAAUGAUAAAUUAUUGUUAAUAAUUUUUUAUUUUUUGGUUGCUCAGAAGGCAGGAAAGAGCAUUUCCAGGUUUCAAAUUUGAAAAAUUUUCUGGAGAUUAUGCCCCCACACACGUGGCCUUCGGGCAUUGGUAUCCCCCUCUAAUAAGUAUAAUGAUAAAUUAUGGUUAAUAUUCUAUUUUACUUUUUGUGCAUUUUUUCCUUCUUUUAUUUCAAAUACAAGUAUAGUUAGCAUAAAUUUUAGAGCAAAUUUGGAUGCUCAGAAUGCAGGAAAUGGCAUUUCCGUGUUUCAAAUUUCAAAAAUUUUCUGGGGGAGUACACCCCCACACACGUGACCAUUGAGAUCCUCCUCUAAUAAGUAAUGAUAAAUUAUGGUUAAUAUUUUUUUUUAAACUUUUUGUGGGGUUUUUCCUUCUUUUAUUUAAUUUUGGAGCGCAUUUGGAUGCUCAGAAUGCAGGAAAUGGCAUUUUUGUGCUUCAAAUUUCAAAAUUUUUCUGGGGAAGUACACCCCCCCUCAUUCAUGCGUGCAUGGUAUAUUCGGCGCACACGUGGCCUUCAGCCAUUGCUAUCUCCCUGUAAUAUAUUAUCUCACAGAAAGGUCCCUUUUCAAAAAAUCCCCCACGGGAAAAUUCUUAAAAAAGGCCCUGUGACAGACAGCCAUAAUUUUUUUUACCCAAUCCAUGAGCUAGUCAAAAACUUGAUUACGCAACCCAUAUCUCUUCGGUACCAACCCCGGGUAUAAAUAAUGAACGGUCCCUAAUGGGAGUAAUGCUAUUCACAAAUUAUUGUAUAGAUUGACAUUAAUUUAUCAGUUCGCUGAACAUGAAACCAAAUAUAUAUCGUUUCGAAAUCUAUUUAACACGAUCCUUUGACAAAGUUAUACUGUGCACAAAGCAUCAAAACAAAGACAGUCAGUUGUUUUCGAUAAAUCUAAUAUAGACUUUUAGAUUUUUUGAUGUUCAGUCGUUGCACAUAUGUGCUAUAUUUGUUUAGCUAUAUAAUUCUAAAUACCUAGUAUUUAAAGAAUUAUGUAAGGCUGUAGUUAUUACAACUUGCUAUAGAUGAAAUAAAUUUCACAAGAAAAACAACAAACAUGCUGUUUCAACUUUUUCAGAAAUGAACAAAUAAAAAAAAUGUAUUAAAAAAUCAAAUCAGUCGCUUUCAUCUCCUUAAGAAUUAAACAGCCCUGCUAAACAAAUACUGGCAACGCAGAUUGUUUUAUAUGCGCACGGGUUAACGACUUCAUCUAGUUUUCGGACUGAAGAAGGUUUCAAGCUAUUUUCAUGUGAGCGAGAUAUUUACCGUUCAUGUAAACAACACAACAGUUUUAUGUUAAUUCACUUAAAUUUCUUUUGUUUUUGGUGCAUUAUAUGCUAUAAGUGCAUGGUACAUUUAAAAACUUACAUACUCCUGCAUGGUAUACCUAUAAAAUUAACGGUUACCUCGGCCCGCACGUAAGGUAUGCUUUAAUACUUUGGCCAUGCAUAUAUGCCUUAAUUCUUACGUUGUAUUCUAUUAGCCAAUAAAAUUCAAAUAGACUUAAUAUAUCCCUUUGACAGUAUCAUCAAUUUCGUAUCAACUGCUUUAGCCAAUAAAAUCGAAAGGAAUAAAGAUCAAUGUGAAACUGAACAUUAAAAAAUAUUACAGAGUUUGCCGAACUACGCUGUCGUUCUCGGCACAAUUUUGUGAAUAACCUCCGAAUAAAUGAGCGCAAUAUUUGUAUAGUAAACAUACAAAUUUGCAAGCGUUCUGACUCCGUGUCAAAAAUUAUGAUCUUUCUGUCAUUUGUAUAAAACAACCUAAAAACUAGAAAUAAUUACAGUCUACAUGUGCAAGUAGUAGUAUUAUGCAAGAAAAUAAACCAAAGGUGACUG